Molecule: ribosomal RNA, 478 nt
Filed under: uncultured bacterium
Lineage: Bacteria
Description: partial 16S ribosomal RNA
Rfam family: Bacterial small subunit ribosomal RNA
Source: RNAcentral
GAUGGACGCUGGCGGCGUGCCUAACACAUGCAAGUCGAACGGAGUCCAGCCUUUAAGACCUUCGGGUCAAAGAGGGGAAGACUGAGUGGCGGACGGGUGAGUAACACGUGGGCAACCUGGCUCAUAGAGGGGGAUAACAGAGAGAAAUUUCUGCUAAUACCGCAUAAGCACACACUGCCGCAUGGCAGAGGGUGAAAAGAGAAUCGCUAUGAGAUGGACCCGCGUCUGAUUAGCCAGUUGGCAGGGUAAGAGCCUACCAAAGCGACGAUCAGUAGCCGAUCUGAGAGGAUGAACGGCCACAUUGAGACUGAGACACGGCCCAAACUCCUACGGGAGGCAGCAGUGGGGGAUAUUGCACAAUGGGGGGAACCCUGAUGCAGCGACGCCGCGUGAGUGAAGAAGUAUUUCGGUAUGUAAAGCUCUAUCAGCAGGGAAGAUAAUGACAGUACCUGAAUAAGAAGCCCCGGCUAACUACGUG